Long non-coding RNA from Loxodonta africana (African savanna elephant), 7895 nucleotides. RefSeq lists it as uncharacterized. The transcript is spliced from 9 exons. Lineage: Eukaryota; Metazoa; Chordata; Mammalia; Proboscidea; Elephantidae. The record is from RefSeq and is a predicted model, not a curated record.
UUAAAAAAAAAAAAAAAAAAAAACCACAAAUCAUAAAAAUUUGCUCUGACAAGAAGAGUUGGGUGACGCUGGCAUUUUGUCAGUGGCAGAAGUAGCUCCACUUGCGGAUGUUUCUGUAUCUGAAUCAUCUCUGGGAAUGGGAAUGGCGUUUCUAGUCAGAAAUUCAGUGACAGAUGUCUGUAUGGUCCUUUUGCUUUUUCUUCAUGUAUUUCUCAGUAAUAUCUCCCUGCCCCCCAAAUCUGCCUAUCGACCUUAGCAAAGUGACCUGUAUUUGGGUCCAAGAUGACAGGCAGUCGAAGCCCCUGAUUUAGUUUAGAGAACUCAAUCUAUAUGGCAGCGUUUUGUCCAGUAAAUCAUAAAACUGGACAUGUGCAAGUGAACAUCUGAGAAUAACAUCAGCAAAUUACACACUGAAACAUUGAAUGUAGUACUUAUUACUAAUGAUAAGAAGUACAAAAAAAAAAAAAGGACAGUUGUAAGUGCGGCUCGUCAUAACAUGAAUACUUAGUAAGGCAGGUAGUACCUGUAUACAUAUUUAAAAUAUAUUUAACUGCCUCUUAUAUAUUUAAAUAUAUUUUAAAUAAUAUGCAUUGAAUAUAUUUAACAUACAUAAAUGUAUAUACUAUUCUAUAUCUUUUUAAUAUAUAUUAUAUAUGUGUGUAUGUAUGUAUAUUUAAACCUGAACUGUAGUCUCAGCAAUUGUUUAGUACUUGGAUCAUCAAAAGAUUUUCAGAGGGAGAAGUAUUUUAUCAAUGGCAUUGUUUAGGACUGUCAGCACAUGGUGGUAAUAAAAAGCAGGCCAACUUUUUGAAAAAUUUCGUACUUACAAAGCCAACCUUUAAUGCUGUCACUGCCCUGUUUUUGGUAGACCACUAAGCAGGAGACUGACUGCUUCUCCUGUCUGAGGAUUAAGAGGUCAGAGCCCAAUCGAACGCACAGGAUUUGCCAGGGGAUUGGAUGGGAACUGUGCAAGAGCAAAUAACUCCUAGGUUUGCAGUGUGCACGAAUAGAACGAAGCUGCUAUUUACUCAGAUGAGGAGGAGUGGGAAGGAGUACAGUUUUGUGCAGGGACUUAAGAGGAUGGUUUGAACAUGUCAGCUCUGGGAUGUCUAUUAGUCAUGCAAGCGGAGCUAUGAAGUCGCCUGUCAGAUCUGAGAGCCUGGCAUUCAGGGGAGGUCAGAGUUGAAGAUUUAUAUCUGGAAACUAUUAGCACGUGGAAGAUAUCAAAGCCACGGCAGUGGCCGAGAAAUCAUGGAGACUGAGGUAGAGAAGGCAAAGCACUUGGGGACUGAGGCCUGGGCACUCUGUUGUUUAAAGCGGGACUUCGAACCAGUUCUUUCCAGUUUGGUCAUGGCUGAGGAAUCGAAAUCAGAACAGACUUGAAUUUUUAAAAUUUGGGUGAACUGAAAUGGGAAAAAUUACAAAUCGAAGACCUGCUAGAAAUCUAGCCUUCCUCUUAGAAAACAAGGGCAGCGUAAGCUUUGCAUGGCACCCAAAUAUCUUGCCCGUCACAUUUUGAGAAGAGUUGGAAACAGUAGUACUUCGCUCAAAGAUGGCUGUGGAGCGCAUGGCUUUGAAAGUGUGUCACUCUCCACCGUCCUGCCAAUAAUCCGGUCGCGUGCAUCAGGCUCCUGAAGAGGCUCACUAGGCCUCUUCUGAGUCUCCCAUUGCACGGCUUCCACCCGCUAAUUUUUCCCAUUCCAGCUAUUGUUCUGGAUCACCCAAAUUGUAAAAAUUCGGAUCUGAUCCAGUUUCUCUUCUUUGGCCGUCACUGAACUGGUUCGAACCGGUUCAAAUCCCUGGUUAAAAGGCCAGGAAGGUGAGGAGAAGCCGGCAUAGCAGAUUGACAAGGAACAGCAGCUGGGGAAGAAGAGAAACAAGUGAGAGUGGAGUCCUGGAGGACAAGUGACGAAGAUUCCCAGGAGGCAAAGCACUCAACUGUGUCAGAUACUGUGGACUGAUUGAGAUAAGGACUGAGAAGAGCCCACAGGAUUUGGCAACCUGGUGGUCUUUGGUAAUAUUGACAAAAACUAUCUAAUUGGAGUGUGAGGUUUCAAGCAUGACUGGAGUGGGGCCAUGAGAGCAUAGCAGCAGAGGAAGAGCGUGACAGGAAUAACUCAAGGAUUCAUUUUAUGUAAAAGAAAGCUGAGAAGUAGGGUGGUAGCUGGAGGGACGUCUGGAGCUAAGAGAUUGUUGUUGUGGUUGUGUGUGGUUGUUGUGAUCGUUAUGUGUGUGAGUGUGUGUGUAUGUGUGUGGGUUUUAAGAUGAGAGAUAUUUCAUCCUCUCAUCUUUACGUUCUGGUGGGAGGAAUCUCACAGAUAGGGGAAAAAUGAUGAUGCUGGGGAGAGAAGACGCCUGCAGGAGAAAUGUCCUUGAGAAGCUGAGAGGGGUCGGGAUCUAGGGCCCAAAUGGAGAGGGAGGACAGAAUGGACAGGGGCAGAGUAAGGGUGUUGGUGGAUCUGGCCAUGGGACUAUACAGAAGUGCUCUUCCAAUUGUUACUGUUUGUUAAUGAAAGAAAGGACAUCAGCUGAAUGUGAGGAAAAGCAAACUUUUUGGAGGUUUGAGGAUAGAAGAGCAGUUGUGACAGUCAUCAAGGAGAGCUGAAAAUGAAUGGGCUAGACUAUCAGUUGUUAAAAUGUCAUCUGGGGGACCCCUGACACCCUUUGGGGGAUGUUCAUCAUUUGCCUGAUUCUCUCUCAUUCUCCCAGGAGUUUACAGUGGAGUUUUUCAGAGGCUACAUGAUGUGUGAUGACACCAUCGCUCUGACAACUACUUUAUUUUUACGCAAAUAACGACCCCUUCUGCCUUUUUUUGUUGGCCAUGCCUCCACAACCCCUGCCCCCCAAUGUAUUUUUGUAAGCGUGCUAUGCUCAUUUUUUUUUUCUUUUGCAGCUACCUGUGGAAGAGGAUUGGUAUGGCAUGCCUCACAGCGGGAGGGCGCGGCCAGCAAAUAUAUGCAGAGGUCACACGUUAGUUGUGUAAAAAUACAAUGAUGGAAUGUGAACUUGUCAAUUCUUAUGCUUUAACAAUUUGUUUUAAUUUCUAAUUCAGUAACUAGCCCAUAGCUAUAACCCACAUAAACAAAAGCUCUGUGGGUCCUCAGUAAAUUUUGAGAAUGUAAAGAAGUUCUGUUCUAGAUAGCAGAGAAAAAGGAGGAAGGAAUUGUAGGGCACAGACUUAAGGUCCUACAAUAGGUUUUUAGUUAUGACUGAAAAGUAAGAUUAGUAAACAUGGUUUCGUAUUUUUCUCUAACCAAGUUCAGUUGCCUAACUGAAGCCACAAUUGGCUGUAAUUGUGGAUGGAGUAUUGCCAGUUGAGAAGAGAGUGGAGAAGAAGCAAGGAACACAGAACUAACUCACACUAGGUGCAUUCAUCCACCUGGGGCUAGAGGGCUAGACUAUGCUGUUGCCAUAUUUCUGCCCAUUGUGGGGUCCACAGAACUGUGUUCCUGACAGAUGAGGUCACACGUCCAUGAAAACGCAGCAGUUGGUUGCCGAGGGCAUCUUAUAGCCAGGCCCUGUGCCGCAUUUGGAAAUUCCAACCCUCAAGGAGCACAGCAUCCAGCUGGAAUGAGGAACAUCAGGCCGUGUAAAGUCAACGCUGGGGAGCUGCCAGUGCAGCCAGAGUGAGGGAUAUUCGGUCUUGUGUUUGUCUGGCCAUUUUAUUUGGAGCUGAGGAACCCAAGAUGGGCAGGUCAGAGAGCGAGGCUGUUUCUCCCAGGCUGCAAAGAUUGACAAACUCCAAGACUGACAGGCAAGACUGCAGUUGGCUGUUUCCUUCAGGGCUAGAAAGACAUCCCCGUUUGUCUCGAAGACCCACAGGUGGGAUGCUCUGCGGAGGAAGAGGUUGGAUAAACACCAGGCUGACUCUAGCCUCGGGGCCUGAGAGGUAAUUCUUUGUUCUGGAGAUAUCCUGCACUUUUUUGGACGUUUAGAAGCAUCCCUAGCCUCUAUCUGCUAGACACGGGUGGGCACCAGGAAGUGAAAACCAAUUCUACCCUUGGUUCUCAUAAGAUACCAGAGAAACUGACUGAAAAAAAAAAGAAAUACUUGAAUUGGUUAUUCAACAUUAUUGGAUAUAUUUGUUAUUGUCAUUGGUUGCUGCUGAGUUGAAUCUGACUCACGGCGACCCCAUGUGGGCGGAGUAGAAUUGUACCCCACGGGGUUUUCAAAGACGUGAACUUUGCGAAGCAGAUCACCAAGCCUGUCCUCUGAGGUGCACUGGAUUGGUGGAGGGCAAAGUCACUGACGUGGUCUAUGAACGCUGGCAUUUGAACGUUGGGGAUUCUUGCGGCCUGCUUUGUCAGGAAAAAAUAUUUCUUUCGUUUUGCUUUUUGUUUAAAACCAAAGCCAUCAUGCUCAAUGCUUCUGACUUGGCUGCACAACAAGCAAUAACAUGCCCUCCAGAAAGACCUAGGAAGGAAAAGCCUACCGGCAUGGCAAACUGCCUCCGCUUCUCACCCAAAACAGAGGGACCUGGGCUACUGGCUUCUGACCUACCUCAUGGCUCAUGGCAUCUCUUGUGAACUCCUAGUAAUGGGUGUUAACCUCAGCCAGUUGCUUUGCCUUUAUGACCCUCACUCCCAAUUUGAAUCAUAGGCUCCACAGUUGCCUGCUCUCUAGAUUCUGGUGACAACCUACCAUCCUGCUCUUCUGGCUCUCACUACACUCAUUGCCCAAACACAGCACACACCUGAGGGGGUGAGUGAAUCUUUCAUCAUUUUGAUGCUAAAGUCAGUACAUUCCAAGUACCAAAAGAGAGCAUAUUUUAACACAAUCGCCCUGACCCAUCCCCUGAACCCCUUAACAGGAUUUACAUAUGUUUAUUAACGAUCUGGAAACCCUGUUGGCGUAGUGGUUAAGUGCUACGGCUGCUAACCAAAGGGUCUGCAGUUUGAAUCCUCCAGGCGCUCCUUGGAAACUCUAUGGGGUAGUUCUACUCUGACCUAUAGUCGGAAUCGACUCAACAGCACUGGUUUUGGUUUGGUUUGGUAUUAACGAUCUAUUUUUCCCAAAUUAAGUUUUUUUUUGUGUGUGUGUGGUAAAAACAUAUAUAAUGAAACACUUAUCAACAAUUUUGACAUGUACCAUUCAGUGACUUUAAUUACAUCAUCUGUCAUGUUGUGUGACCAUCACCACGAUCCAUUUCCAAAUAGUUUCAUCACCUUAACAGAAACUCAGGGCCCCCUAAGCAAUGACUUCCACUUUCCUCCUCCCCACAACCACUGGAAACCACGAAUAAACUUUGUUCUCCAUACAUUUGCGUAUUCUAGAUAUUUCAUAUAAGUGGGAUCAUGCAAUAUCUGUCCUUUUGUGGCUGACUUAUUUCACUCAGUGUGUUUUUAAUAUUCAUCCAUGUUGUAGUAUGUAUCAGGACUUAAUUUAUCUUUAUGGUGAGAAAUAUUCUUUUUUUUUUAAAUUGUACUUUAGAUGAAGGUUUAUAGAACAAACUAGUUUCUCAUCAAACAGUUAGCACACACAUUGUUCUAUGACGUUGGUUAAUAACCCCAAGACAUGUCUACACUCUCCGCUCUCAAUCCUGGGUUCCCUAUUACCAGCUCUCCUAUUCUCUCCUGCCUUCCAGGCCCUGCCCCAGGGCUGGUGCACCCUUUAGUCUUGUUUUGUUCCAUGGGCCUGUUCAAUGUUUGGCUGAAGAGUGAACUUCAGGAGUAACUUCGUUACUAAGCUGAAAGGAUGUCCAGGGCCAUACUCUCAGGGUUUCUCCAGUCUCUGUCAGGUCAGCAAGUCUGGUCAUUCUUUUUGAGUUAGAAUUUUGUUCUACAUUUUUCUCCAGUUCUGUCUGGGACCCUCUAUUGUGAUCCCCGGCAGAGCAGUCAGUGGUGGUAGCCAGGCACCAUCUAGUUGUGCUGGACUCAGUCUGGUGGAACCCCUGGUAGAUGUGGGCCAUAAGUCCUUUGGACUAAUCUUUCCCUUGUAUCUUUAGUUUUCUUCAUUCUUCCUUGCUCCCAAAAGACCAGUGGAAUAUCCUCGAUGGCUGCUCACAGGCUUUUAAGACCCCACGCACUACCCAUAUUGUGAGAAAUAUUGCAUUGUGUAUAUAUUUUGCUUAACUAUUCGUCUGUUGAUGGACAUCUAGGUUUUUCCCACAUUUGGCUAUUGUGCUGCAAUGAAUAUUGGUGUACAAGUUUCUGUUUGUGUUCUUCCUUUUAAUUCUUUUGAGCGAAUACCUAGGAUUUGGGUUGCUGGAUCCAUAUGGUAGUACUAUGUUUAACUUUUGAGGAACCGCCAAACUGUUUUCCAUUGUGGCUAUGCCAUUUUGUAUUUCUACCAGCAAUGGAUGAGCGACAAAUUAAGUCUUGAGAGCUCUUCUUAUCUGAUCUAGGACAUUUUGGAGAUAUGAAAUUAAUGUCAGCGUUAACAGUCAAAACAAAACAAACUCCACAAAGACCAAAUUUUCUGUGAGGUUUACUUUUCUGAAUCCCUCAAGAAGCAGUGCACAAUAGAAAUUCUUAUUGUCUUCCCAUCUUGUGUUUGAUGGUGAUAGCUUUUCUUAACAGUUAUUCUAAAAAGAAGGUACUUAGUGAAUUCCUUAAUGCAGAAGGACUGAUUUUAUUUGCUAAACAUCUUCCACUUAAUCGUGGAUGAAUAUAACAGAAUGCUUUUGAGGCCUGCUAGACCGUUUAAAGGAAACCCUGGUGGCAUAGUGGUUAAGUGCUACAGCUUGUAACCAAAAGGUCAGCAGUUCGAAUCCACCAGGUGCUUCUUGGAGACUUGAUGGGGCAGUUCUAGUCUGUCCUAUAGAGUCGCUAUGAGUCGGAAUUGACUCAACAGCAAUGGGUUUUUGGUAUGCCAUUUAAGUCAGGAAGCAUCAUGUAACAUAUUGCUAAAUGAACAGAAUCAUCUGGGAAGGAACAUAGGUCAUAGGAUCUGGGUUUGACUUCCCAGUGUGCUAUUUUCCUGAUGUAAAAUAUUUAGCUUCGCUAUGCCUCAUUUUCCACCACCCAUCUGUAAGUUUGUCAUAUUGUGGUGAUUCGUGUGUUGUUAUGAUGCUGGAAGCUGUGCCCCCAGUAUUUCAAAUACCAGCAGGAUCACCUGUGGUUUUUGCAGAGCUUCCAGACUAAGGAAAACUAGGAAGAAAGGCCAGGUAAUCUGCUUCCUAAAAUUAGCCAAUAAAAAGCUUGUGGAUAACAACAGAUUUUUUGUCCAGCUUGCUUACUUUGGACACAUCACCAGGAGAGAUCACUUGCUGGAGGAGGACAUCAUGUUCGGUAAAAUAAAGAGUCAAGAAGGGUGUGGGAAACACUUGGUGAGAUGGAUUGGCACAGUAGCCACCAUGAUGGACUUGAACACGCUGGCAAUUGUAUGACAUGGAACUGUACAACAUUCCAUUCUGUUGUACAUAAGGUCACUGUCUUAGUUAUCUAGUGCUGCUAUAAAUGAAAUACCACAAGUGGAUGGCUUUAACAAAGAGAAAUUUACUCUAUCACUAUCUAGGAGGCUAGAAGCCCAAAUUCAGGGUGCCAACUCCAGGGGAAGGCUUGCUUUCUCUGUUGGCUCUGGGGGAAUGUCCUUGUCAUUAAUCUUCCCGUGGUCUAAGGGCUUCUCAGUGCAGGAACCCUGGGUCCAAAGGACACACUCCCUUCCUGGUUCUAUCUACUUGGUGGCAGGAGGGGUCCCCCUCCUCUCUGCUCAUUUCUCUCUCUUGUAUCUCAAAAGAGAUUGACUCGAGAUACAAUCUAAUCCUUUUUAUUGAGUCUUGCCUCAUUAACAUAACUGCUUCUAAUCCUACCUCAUUCACACGAUACAACACAGGAUAAUCACAUCAGAUUACAAAAUGGUGGGCAGCCACACAAUACUGGGAAUUGUGGCCUAACCAAGUUAACACACGUUUUGGAGGGACACCAUUAAAUCUAUAACAGUCACCAUGAGUUGGA